Molecule: ribosomal RNA, 305 nt
Filed under: uncultured bacterium
Lineage: Bacteria
Description: bacterial SSU rRNA
Rfam family: Bacterial small subunit ribosomal RNA
Source: RNAcentral
GCCUACGGGAGGCAGCAGUAGGGAAUAUUGCUCAAUGGGGGAAACCCUGAAGCAGCAACGCCGCGUGAAGCAAGAAGGCUUUCGGGUUGUAAACUUCUUUUAAGGGGGAAGAGCAGAAGACGGUACCCCUUGAAUAAGCCACGGCUAACUACGUGCCAGCAGCCGCGGUAAUACGUAGGUGGCAAGCGUUGUCCGGAUUUACUGGGUGUAAAGGGCGUGCAGCCGGAGAGACAAGUCAGAUGUGAAAUCCACGGGCUCAACCCGUGAACUGCAUUUGAAACUGUUUCCCUUGAGUGUCGGAGAGG